RNAcentral lists this ribosomal RNA (440 nucleotides) under uncultured bacterium. RNAcentral describes it as "partial 16S ribosomal RNA". It matches the Rfam family "Bacterial small subunit ribosomal RNA", at positions 338 to 795 of the family's 1533-position model. The record is from RNAcentral.
CCUACGGGAGGCAGCAGUGGGGGAUAUUGCACAAUGGGGGGAACCCUGAUGCAGCGACGCCGCGUGGGUGAAGAAGCGCCUCGGCGCGUAAAGCCCUGUCAGCAGGGAAGAAAAUGACGGUACCUGAAGAAGAAGCCCCGGCUAACUACGUGCCAGCAGCCGCGGUAAUACGUAGGGGGCAAGCGUUAUCCGGAUUUACUGGGUGGAAAGGGGGCGCAGACGGCGAUGCAAGCCAGGAGUGAAAGCCCGGGGCCCAACCCCGGGACUGCUCUUGGAACUGCGUGGCUGGAGUGCAGGAGGGGCAGGCGGAAUUCCUGGUGGAGCGGUGAAAUGCGUAGAUAUCAGGAGGAACACCGGUGGCGAAGGCGGCCUGCUGGACUGCAACGGACGUUGAGGCCCGAAAGCGUGGGGAGCAAACAGGAUUAGAUACCCCAGUAGUC